GCUUAACACAUGCAAGUCGAACGAAGCACUUUAUUACGAUUUCUUCGGAAUGACGAUUUGGUGACUGAGUGGCGGACGGGUGAGUAACGCGUGGGUAACCUGCCCUGUACAGGGGGGACAACAGUUGGAAACGACUGCUAAUACCGCAUAAGCCUACGGUGCCGCAUGGCACAGGAGGAAAAACUCCGGUGGUACAGGAUGGGCCCGCGUCUGAUUAGUUAGUUGGCGGGGUAACGGCCCACCAAGACGACGAUCAGUAGCCGGCUUGAGAGAGUGAACGGCCACAUUGGGACUGAGACACGGCCCAAACUCCUACGGGAGGCAGCAGUGGGGAAUAUUGCACAAUGGGGGAAACCCUGAUGCAGCAACGCCGCGUGAGUGAAGAAGUAUUUCGGUAUGUAAAGCUCUAUCAGCAGGGAAGAAAAUGACGGUACCUGACUAAGAAGCCCCGGCUAACUACGUG
Molecule: ribosomal RNA, 463 nt
Filed under: uncultured bacterium
Lineage: Bacteria
Description: bacterial SSU rRNA
Rfam family: Bacterial small subunit ribosomal RNA
Source: RNAcentral